GGCACGCGCGGGCUACCGGGGCGGAGGCGUACGGGGGCGGCGAGCGGGGCUCGGCUCCUCCUCGUCCCGCGCCAGCGCCGCGCCCGGCCGCAUUCUCGGGGCCCGAGGCUCAGCCGCUCGCGGUGGAGAAAGCAGGCCGCGGAGGAGGCGGGCGCCCAGGCCUGCCCGGACAGGAAGUGGGCCCAGCUUUCCCACUCCUCGCUCCGCUCCUUCCUCCGCGGGAAGGGCAGGCCCCGGAGGCAGCGAGCGCCCCGGGGGUGGCCGGGCAGCCGGAUGCUCCCGGGGUUGCGGGCUGUGGCCCCGGGGGCUGAGGGCGGCGCGGGUGCGGCGGAAGCAGGGAAGCCGCGAACCGGCCUUCUGGCUGGCCACAGCGCCCUGCACGGACGAUCAGUGAAUGGAGAUUACUCAAGUAUUUAUCGAGAACUUGCAGUGGGCUAGGCACAGUUCAGUUGAACCUUCGUCUUGUGAGGAACAGAAAGAUCAAGAACUCUGAAGCACCUCGACUUUCCACCUGUGAAGAUGUGUUCAAAUUUGCAACGUGCGGCCACACCUAUGAGGCAGGAGUGCAGUGGCGAGAUCUGGACUCACUGCAACCUCUGCCUCCUGGCUUCAAGCAAUUCUCAUGCUUCAGCCUGUAGCUGGAACUACAGGUCACUCCCUCUGGAGGAAACCAGCUGCCACUUUGUGAGGAUACUCAUAGUCCUGUGGAGGCAUAUCCUCCAUAUGGCUGAGACCUCCUGCGAACAACCAUCACUGACUUGCCAGACAUGAGUGUGCCACCUUGGAAGCAGAUUUUCCAGCCCCAGUUAAGCCUUCAGAUGACAUCAGCCCCUGCUAAUCUCUUGACUACAACCUCAUGAGAGACCCUGAGCCAGAACUAGCCAGGCUUACCCCUCAUGGUUACAAAGUGGCUGCAACAGCUCCAGGUGUUCUAUCCUUUAACACAGAAUAACUCAAACAACAAGACCCAAUAUUCAGACAAGAAGGAAAGGGACUUUUGGAGAGUGAAGAAAACUUUCCUAGAAACCUCAAACUUCUCCCCAUGCCUUAUUGGCCAGAUUGUAUCCCAUGCCCAUUUCUAAACCAAUCAUUGGCAAAGUGAGUGGAAUUGACGUGAUUAGAUUAACUUUACCAAGAAUGCAUCCUCAGAGAGGCUGAGAAAAAGUCCAGCCUCCUUUGAAGAGCCUGGCUACCUUUCACCUGAACAAAACAAGAAUUCUGAUGAAAAAUGGAGAAUGUAUGUGGAGCAGGCACCCGGAGUGUCUAUGCCAGGAUUUUUUUUCAGUGCGUUUCACCGGUUAUAUUUUUGUCUCUUUACCUUACAAGAUAUGUGGCACGUUUGCCUAAAACAAGCCUUGCUUUCUGAUUUCUGUGCACUAGGCACUUAAACCUUGCAAAUGUCGCUUACCUAACAGUCACUGUCAAGGAGUACCUGGCUAAAGAAUCUCCAGCUAGACAAAGUAGAAGUGUCUGUGCUCUGGCAGUUGAAUAUAUUGUAUCAGGCUCAACAGCACCUUUCACCAAAGGAUGAGACUUCACAACCAUUAGAUCUUCUUUUAUUUUGUUUUUAUUAAAAAAAAAAAUUUUAACACACCAUUGCUAACUUGAAGCCAUUAGAUCUUCUUACCCCCAAUACCACAAAAGUUUAGUGGAAUCAGGGGUAUACCAAGGCAGGUGGAGUAGGGGAGCUGGGAGUGGUCAGCCCCCAGGGCAGGCAAUGAGGGAUUGUGAAUCUGUGAAGAAUUUUAAAGCAAUGAUACAGCUCUAAAUGCAAUGUACUAUCCUGGACUUAGCCCUGGAAAAGAAAAAAGAUAUUAGUGGAAAAACUGGUAAAAUUCAAAUAAUGUCUGUAGUUUGGUUAAUAGUAUUAUACCAAUGUUAAUUUCUGUGUUUUGAUAAAUGUACCAUGGUUAUGUAAGCUGGAUGAAAGAUAUGUGGGAAAUCUCUCUACUAUUUCUGCAACUCUCCUGUAAACCUAAAAAUGUUUCAAAAUAAAAGAUUUAAUGCUAAAAUUG
RNAcentral lists this long non-coding RNA (2015 nucleotides) under Homo sapiens (human). Its description in RNAcentral is "HSALNT0334657". The record is from RNAcentral. Lineage: Eukaryota; Metazoa; Chordata; Mammalia; Primates; Hominidae.